RNAcentral lists this unclassified non-coding RNA (379 nucleotides) under Hevea brasiliensis (rubber tree). The record is from RNAcentral. Lineage: Eukaryota; Viridiplantae; Streptophyta; Magnoliopsida; Malpighiales; Euphorbiaceae.
AGCAAGAAACAAAAGCUUUGAUGUGUGCUAUGAACAUGUCUCAAAGCAAGGGGAUGAGUUGUAUGAACUUGUGGCUCAUUUGCCUGACAAGGCGAACAAUUACCUGGCACCAGCUCUCUCUGUUCUUGAGAAGAACACCUGAUUGAUCAAAUGAUCAGUGACCCAUCAAAUUUUAUGUCAUUCUGGGUCAGAUUAUUGUCCAUGUGUAUAUGAUUCAUCUUGUAAAGGUUUUCCUUUUCUCAUAGAAACCGUGUGGAGUCCACUUGUGCCAUGAUGACCGUCUCCAGCACAAAAGUGAAGGAGUUGUUGACAAAAAAAAUCCAUGGUCCUACUACUUUCCCAUCUCUGUAAAACUUGUAGAAUUUUCAUAACAAUUGGG